Molecule: ribosomal RNA, 740 nt
Filed under: uncultured bacterium
Lineage: Bacteria
Description: bacterial SSU rRNA
Rfam family: Bacterial small subunit ribosomal RNA
Source: RNAcentral
AGAGUUUGAUCCUGGCUCAGAACGAACGCUGGCGGCAGGCUUAACACAUGCAAGUCGAACGCCCCGCAAGGGGAGUGGCAGACGGGUGAGUAACGCGUGGGAAUCUACCUUGUUCUACGGAACAACACAGGGAAACUUGUGCUAAUACCGUAUACGCCCUAAGGGGGAAAGAUUUAUCGGAAUAAGAUGAGCCCGCGUAAGAUUAGCUAGUUGGUGGGGUAAUGGCCUACCAAGGCGACGAUCUUUAGCUGGUCUGAGAGGAUGAUCAGCCACACUGGGACUGAGACACGGCCCAGACUCCUACGGGAGGCAGCAGUGGGGAAUAUUGGACAAUGGGCGCAAGCCUGAUCCAGCCAUGCCGCGUGAGUGAUGAAGGCCUUAGGGUUGUAAAGCUCUUUCAGUGGGGAAGAUAAUGACGGUACCCACAGAAGAAGCCCCGGCUAACUUCGUGCCAGCAGCCGCGGUAAUACGAAGGGGGCUAGCGUUGUUCGGAUUUACUGGGCGUAAAGCGCACGUAGGCGGAUCGUUAAGUCAGGGGUGAAAUCCUGGAGCUCAACUCCAGAACUGCCUUUGAUACUGGCGAUCUCGAGUCCGGAAGAGGUGAGUGGAACUCCUAGUGUAGAGGUGGAAUUCGUAGAUAUUAGGAAGAACACCAGUGGCGAAGGCGACUUCCUGGACAAUUGCUGACACUCAGGCACGAAAGCGUGGGGAGCAAAAGGGAUUAGAUACCCCAGUAGUCC